Molecule: non-coding RNA, 283 nt
Organism: Pelobates cultripes (western spadefoot toad)
Lineage: Eukaryota; Metazoa; Chordata; Amphibia; Anura; Pelobatidae
Source: the annotation of a GenBank genome assembly
GCGCAGCAUGGUGUUUGGCUGCACAUGUGCACUAGCCUCCUUAUAUUUCCCCUAUGAGGAAAUAUUGGAUUGGCUGAUAUCAUCAAGAGUGAUGCUCUCAGCCAAGUAGGCGAAGCGGAACGACGGAGUCAGGCGUGGAGAGGGCUGAAAGGUAAGUAAAUCUCACCUUUCAAACCCUCACAGACGCAGGUGACACAUCUAAUAAAACUAAAUAGGUAGUUUAAAACCGUAGCGUUAAGAAUAUCUAAAUUUAGGCAAAAGUAGUGGAAUCUGAAAAAUUCUC